RNAcentral lists this unclassified non-coding RNA (119 nucleotides) under uncultured fungus. RNAcentral's name for it is "sequence contains ITS1". Lineage: Eukaryota; Fungi. The record is from RNAcentral.
UUGCUGCAAGUGUUGGCACGUGUUUUCUGUGUGUCGGGCGGGCCCUGUGCCGGCCCGCCGGGUCCCCAGCCAUUCUGCUCUUCUUGCUAAUGAUCCUUCCGCAGGUUCACCUACGGAAA